UUAAAAUAUAUUGGUUUACCAAUUCAAGAUAAUUUUAAUGUGUUUGCACAAAAACAUAAUUUUAAUAUGUAAUUCAUUAAUUAUUUCUAUUUUAAUAUAAUGUAGAAUAUACUUAUAAAAUUUAUAAAAUUAUCAUAUAAUUUCAUUAUUUUGUUUAUAAUAAAAUUUUAAUUUUAAUUAAUUUAUAAUAAUAUUAUACUACUAAUUGCGAAAUAAAUCAGUGCAUUAAUUAAGAGAAUAUUUAAAUUUUUAAAAAGAUUUUGGUAGAUUUUUUCUCAACAGAUUUUGUUAUUCCUAAAACUAAAAUUUAAAUUUAUAAUUAAAAUGGACUUGUUAUUAAUAUUCUUAUAAUUAAUCAAAUUUCAACCAUCUUUUUCUUAAAACCCUAGCCGUCAGAGAGAGAAAAACUCCAUAGCCAUCGGUCUCCCUCUGUGGUUGGCCGUGCUUCUCACUGCUGCUACGUGAGGGAGGAUCGGUGUCGUUUGUCUCCGGUGACAUGCUUUCUUUUCGAUGGUCGUCCGGUUCCGUCUCUGGAAUGCGAUGUCUCUUUUAGCAUCGGUUUAGCCGGCUUUGUGUCUCUGGGAAGGGAUGGUUUCUCUAACAUCUCUAUCGCCGGCUUUGUGUCCCCGGGAAAGGUUGGCUUCUCUAGCAUCUCGAUCGCCGGCUCUUUCUCGGGUUACGGGGGUGUAUGUAACCGGUUGUUCGUUUUUUGUCGGUUUUGGUAGAUCUUUCAGUGUUUGACUCAAUGGCUCGAGCGUUGAGUAUUCUCACUACUUCCGUUUCUUCUUAUCUCUUCGAGCUUUUGGCGCUUCCAGUUUGUCGAGGUCUUGUGGUUGGGGUUCGACUUUUGGAUGGUAUACAGCUGUGGAGCCAUCUACCUGUUUUUUCUCUGUGACUGGUUUGCGGAGUAAAGCAUUAAGACGAAGCAGUGGUUUCGGUUUUCAGCUCAUCUCUUGCGAGGAGGUGACCAUACUUUUGCUUGUAGGUGGUGGGGUAUGGGUACACGAGGGUCCGUGUGUAUGAGCUGCUGAUCCUUUUAGUUGUUGUCCCCUCUUCGAGUUUCAAGUUUUGAUCUUGUGCUUUGGUUUUUCAUGGUCGCUGGCGGUUUGUUGCAGAUGUGUUAUUAGUGGCUUUUGUCUCUGUGUCUGCUUCAGUUUUGGCGUUGUAGUUUCUGCCGGGUUGGUUCCUGUGAGAUUGUGGUUUCGGCCUAUAUGGUUUGUGGUUUCCUCAAGUCUCUGGUUCUUAUGGUUUCAGUUCGUGCUUAUUCAGGUUCUAUGGAAACUCUCGUUUGAUUGUCGGCUGCGUGGAGUUAGAUAUGUUCUUGUUUUUGUUGUUUUGGUUCUACUAGUUGUGUGAUUUAUCAUUAAUUUUAUAAAAUAUCACAAGAGUUAAAAAAAAAAUUAAUA
This is a long non-coding RNA of Brassica rapa (field mustard), 1406 nucleotides long. RefSeq lists it as uncharacterized. NCBI's taxonomy places the organism in Eukaryota, Viridiplantae, Streptophyta, Magnoliopsida, Brassicales, Brassicaceae. The record is from RefSeq and is a predicted model, not a curated record.